This 425-nucleotide ribosomal RNA is filed under the name uncultured bacterium. RNAcentral describes it as "bacterial SSU rRNA". It matches the Rfam family "Bacterial small subunit ribosomal RNA", at positions 355 to 772 of the family's 1533-position model. The record is from RNAcentral.
UGGGGAAUUUUGGACAAUGGGCGAAAGCCUGAUCCAGCCAUGCCGCGUGCAGGAUGAAGGCCUUCGGGUUGUAAACUGCUUUUGUACGGAACGAAAAGACUCCUUCUAAUAAAGGGGGUCCAUGACGGUACCGUAAGAAUAAGCACCGGCUAACUACGUGCCAGCAGCCGCGGUAAUACGUAGGGUGCAAGCGUUAAUCGGAAUUACUGGGCGUAAAGCGUGCGCAGGCGGUUAUGUAAGACAGAUGUGAAAUCCCCGGGCUCAACCUGGGAACUGCAUUUGUGACUGCAUAGCUAGAGUAAGGUAGAGGGGGAUGGAAUUCCGCGUGUAGCAGUGAAAUGCGUAGAGAUGCGGAGGAACACCGAGGGCGAAGGCAAUCCCCUGGGCCUGCACUGACGCUCAUGCACGAAAGCGUGGGGAGCAAA